Molecule: long non-coding RNA, 452 nt
Organism: Gallus gallus (chicken)
Lineage: Eukaryota; Metazoa; Chordata; Aves; Galliformes; Phasianidae
Source: Ensembl
AUUUGGAUUCUCUAUUUAAAGUCUCACUCUCUUUUGUUUUUAGAGACAAUCUCUACAAGACUCAUUUUAACACAAUGUUUGUUUGUUUUUUUUUUUAAUUGAGCUUAAAUAAAUCUGCUUGUGUUUUUUUUGAGGUGAAGCGGCUUUUAUGUGCAGACAGUUGCCUGUGCUCAAAACCAGCUGGAUACAAGGUAGUUCUUGUUCAAAAGUUGUGUGGCAGAGUUACUGGAAACAUGAGCUGUAGCUUCUGCAUCCUGUCUCUUGGUACAGCUGCUACCAGACUCCAGCUGAACUGCAAAACAUUCUGCCACUUUUCUGUGUGUUUGGAAUUCUGAGUCUUAAAAAUGCUGGUAUGUGACUGGACAAGUAGAAGAAAAGAGGCUGCUGGAAAAAUUACAUAAAUCAUAAAAACUAAUAAAAUCUGACUCUCAAUAAAUAUACCUGAACAGCAG